This 78-nucleotide transfer RNA is filed under the name Camelus bactrianus (Bactrian camel). It matches the Rfam family "tRNA". From Rfam's summary of the family: Transfer RNA (tRNA) molecules are approximately 80 nucleotides in length. Their secondary structure includes four short double-helical elements and three loops (D, anti-codon, and T loops). RNAcentral also lists the same sequence under 3 other names. Lineage: Eukaryota; Metazoa; Chordata; Mammalia; Artiodactyla; Camelidae. The record is from Rfam by way of RNAcentral.
GUGAGUAUAGCUUAGUGUUAGUGGUAGAGUGUGUGCUUAGCAUGCACAGGGUUCUGGGUUCAAUCCCCAGUACCUCCA